Molecule: transfer RNA, 93 nt
Filed under: Cinara cedri
Lineage: Eukaryota; Metazoa; Arthropoda; Insecta; Hemiptera; Aphididae
Rfam family: tRNA
About the family: Transfer RNA (tRNA) molecules are approximately 80 nucleotides in length. Their secondary structure includes four short double-helical elements and three loops (D, anti-codon, and T loops).
Source: Rfam by way of RNAcentral
CCUUCGGUAGCUCAGUUGGUAGAGCGGUGGACUGUAGUGUAUAGUAAAAACAUAGAUAUCCGUAGGUCGCUGGUUCAAAUCCGGCCCGAAGGA